Molecule: ribosomal RNA, 376 nt
Filed under: uncultured bacterium
Lineage: Bacteria
Description: bacterial SSU rRNA
Rfam family: Bacterial small subunit ribosomal RNA
Source: RNAcentral
AUACGUAGGGGGCGAGCGUUGUCCGGAAUUACUGGGCGUAAAGGGUGUGUAGGAGGCUUUUUAAGUUGGAUGUGAAAUACUCGAGCUUAACUUGGGUGCUGCAUUCAAUACUGGGUAGCUAGAGUGCAGGAGAGGGAAGUAGAAUUCCUAGUGUAGCGGUGAAAUGCGUAGAGAUUAGGAGGAACACCAGUGGCGAAGGCGGCUUUCUGGACUGUAACUGACACUGAGGCACGAAAGCGUGGGGAGCAAACCGGAUUAGAUUCCCUGGUAGUCCACGCGGUAAACGAUGAAUACUAGGUGUAGGGGGUAGCAACUCCCCCUGUGCCGCCGCUAACGCAAUAAGUAUUCCGCCUGGGGAGUACGGCCGCAAGAUUGA